Molecule: ribosomal RNA, 483 nt
Filed under: uncultured bacterium
Lineage: Bacteria
Description: partial 16S ribosomal RNA
Rfam family: Bacterial small subunit ribosomal RNA
Source: RNAcentral
AUUGAACGCUGGCGGCAGGCCUAACACAUGCCAGUCGAGCGGAUGAAGGGAGCUUGCUCCUGGAUUCAGCGGCGGACGGGUGAGUAAUGCCUAGGAAUCUGCCUGGUAGUGGGGGAUAACGUCCGGAAACGGGCGCUAAUACCGCAUACGUCCUGAGGGAGAAAGUGGGGGAUCUUCGGACCUCACGCUAUCAGAUGAGCCUAGGUCGGAUUAGCUAGUUGGUGGGGUAAAGGCCUACCAAGGCGACGAUCCGUAACUGGUCUGAGAGGAUGAUCAGUCACCUUGAAACGAGAACACGUUCAGACUUCCAAGGGAGGCCGCAGUUGGGAAUUUUGGAACAUGGGCGAAAGGCUUAUCCCGGCCUUGCGGGUGGGUGAAGAAAGUUCUUCGAUUGGUAAACCCCUUUAGGUGGGAGGAAAGGCAGUUAGGUUAAACCCUGCCUUUUUUAACUUUCCCAACGAAUAAGCACCGGCUAACUUCGUG